RNAcentral lists this ribosomal RNA (253 nucleotides) under uncultured bacterium. Its description in RNAcentral is "partial 16S ribosomal RNA". It matches the Rfam family "Bacterial small subunit ribosomal RNA", at positions 524 to 776 of the family's 1533-position model. The record is from RNAcentral.
UACGUAGGGGGCUAGCGUUGUCCGGAAUCAUUGGGCGUAAAGCGCGCGUAGGCGGCCAGAUAAGUCCGGUGUGAAAGUCACAGGCUCAACCUGUGAAUGCCGCUGGAAACUGUCUGGCUAGAGUCCGGAAGGGGCGAGUGGAAUUCCUGGUGUAGCGGUGAAAUGCGCAGAUAUCAGGAGGAACACCUAUUGCGAAGGCAGCUCGCUGGGACGUAACUGACGCUGAGACGCGAAAGCGUGGGGAGCAAACAGG